GAUGAACGCUGGCGGCGUGCCUAAUACAUGCAAGUCGAGCGAACAGACGAGGAGCUUGCUCCUCUGACGUUAGCGGCGGACGGGUGAGUAACACGUGGAUAACCUACCUAUAAGACUGGGAUAACUUCGGGAAACCGGAGUUAAUACCGGAUAAUAUAUUGAACCGCAUGGUUCAAUAGUGAAAGACGGUUUUGCUGUCACUUAUAGAUGGAUCCGCGCCGCAUUAGCUAGUUGGUAAGGUAACGGCUUACCAAGGCAACGAUGCGUAGCCGACCUGAGAGGGUGAUCGGCCACACUGGAACUGAGACACGGUCCAGACUCCUACGGGAGGCAGCAGUAGGGAAUCUUCCGCAAUGGGCGAAAGCCUGACGGAGCAACGCCGCGUGAGUGAUGAAGGUCUUCGGAUCGUAAAACUCUGUUAUUAGGGAAGAACAAAUGUGUAAGUAACUAUGCACGUCUUGACGGUACCUAAUCAGAAAGCCACGGCUAACUACGUG
Molecule: ribosomal RNA, 497 nt
Filed under: uncultured bacterium
Lineage: Bacteria
Description: partial 16S ribosomal RNA
Rfam family: Bacterial small subunit ribosomal RNA
Source: RNAcentral